CAGCCCCGAUUCUGGCUGGUGGAAGG
This 26-nucleotide non-coding RNA is filed under the name Homo sapiens (human). Lineage: Eukaryota; Metazoa; Chordata; Mammalia; Primates; Hominidae. The record is from RNAcentral.